RNAcentral lists this long non-coding RNA (272 nucleotides) under Zostera marina. Its description in RNAcentral is "long non-coding RNA (ZMAR_LNC004581)". The record is from RNAcentral. Lineage: Eukaryota; Viridiplantae; Streptophyta; Magnoliopsida; Alismatales; Zosteraceae.
GUAAAUAUCUGAUACGUCGAGGUUUCAAUGUGCCAUUGUGCGCCGACCUCCUAAGAAUCCACCUUUCUCAAUCCUAUGUUCUCACGUCUGUCAUACAGUAUACCUUCACUUUGACUAACGAUGAGUAAUGAUCUCGAGGCGGGCUGACAAUAGAUAGAAGGAAUUUCCACAUAACACUAUUUAUGAUGAUCAUCGUUUUUGUUUCUCCUGUAAUUACAUGUAUAUCCGUUACUGACAUUAUUCUUUGUUUAAUAUUUUAAAUUUAUAUAAAU